GAGAGAGAGAGAGAGAGAGACUAUACUAUAAGUAGCGAUUAGGUGGUAAAAAAGAUAAAAAAAAUUUAUGAGGAUUAAAAUGAUAAAAAGAAAUAAUUAAAAAUGAGUCAAUUAACGGGAUGCUACCUACAGUAGCGAUAAACUGCAAAAAGGAUUGAUUGGACUAAAAUGUAAUUAUGUUGGAUUGAAAUUGAAAAAAAAAAUAGUGGGGCAGGCAACAGGACGCUACCCUAGGUAGUGACCAACUUCUCCUACGUGUCAGGUGGUAGUAGGUGCUAUCUAAGAUAGCGACAAUCGUUGCCUGUGCCACACAAAUUCGUUUCACGUGAAUGUGUUGUCUUGUCCUAAUCAAUGCGUGAAUGUCUUGUCUUGUCCCUCUCAGCAUGUUGGUCAGUGUGCAUGCAAGUGGACACAACCAAUAAUCGCGUCUAGCUUUUCUGACACGACUCCUCCUCGCGUGCCGUGCUUAGAACAGAGUAAGGUUGUUAGAUUUUGUGCAGACAGAAGCUUAAAUUCACUCAAACCUCUCCCAUUUUCUCUUCGGGAAAAAAAAAUUUCAAUAUCUUCUC
This 569-nucleotide unclassified non-coding RNA is filed under the name Hevea brasiliensis (rubber tree). Lineage: Eukaryota; Viridiplantae; Streptophyta; Magnoliopsida; Malpighiales; Euphorbiaceae. The record is from RNAcentral.